CCCUUAGAUGUCCUGGGCUGCACGCGCGCUACACUGAUGUGUCCAGUAAGCACCUAACCUCUUCCGAAAGGAACGGGUAACCUUUGCAAAGCACAUCGUGAUGGGGAUAGAUUAUUGCAAUUAUUAUUCUUGAACGAGGAAUUCCUAGUAAGCACAAGUCAUCAGCUUGUGUUGAUUACGUCCCUGCCCUUUGUACACACCGCCCGUCGCUCCUACCGAUUGAAUGUUCCGGUGAGCUCUUCGGACUGCGCGGUCUGCAGUUUCUGCGUUCCGUGCGGAAAGUUGCGCAAACCUUAACAUUUAGAGGAAGGAGAAGUCGUAACA
RNAcentral lists this ribosomal RNA (324 nucleotides) under uncultured eukaryote. RNAcentral describes it as "partial 18S ribosomal RNA". It matches the Rfam family "Eukaryotic small subunit ribosomal RNA", at positions 1470 to 1796 of the family's 1831-position model. The record is from RNAcentral.